GGAGGUAGUGACAAUAAAUCACAAUGCGGAACAAUGUUUUGCAAUUGGAUUGAGAACAACGUACAAACCUUAUCGAUAAACAAUUGGAGGGCAAGUCUGGUGCCAGCAGCCGCGGUAAUUCCAGCUCCAAUAGCGUAUAUUAACGUUGUUGCAGUUAAAAAGCUCGUAGUUGAAAUGAAGGGUAGUUGUGUAAUGAAUACAUUCGUGUAUUUUGUUAUUCAAGUAUCCUCCUUCUAAAUUCGAUAUAUGAGUAUUAAUUUACUUGUAUAUGGUUUUAGACUUUUACUGUGAGAAAAUUAGAGUGUUCAAAGCAGGCAUUUGCUUGAAUAUAUUAGCAUGGAAUAAUCAUGUAUGAUUUUCAUGAUGUAUUUGAUUGGUUUGGUUGAUGAGAAUAAGAUUAAAAGGGACAGUUGGGGGUAUUCAUAUUCAAUAGUCAGAGGUGAAAUUCUCGGAUUUAUGGAAGAUGAACAAGUGCGAAAGCA
Molecule: ribosomal RNA, 482 nt
Filed under: Blastocystis sp.
Lineage: Eukaryota; Bigyra; Opalinata; Blastocystidae
Description: SSU rRNA
Rfam family: Eukaryotic small subunit ribosomal RNA
Source: RNAcentral